Pseudopipra pipra is the source of this 6376-nucleotide long non-coding RNA. RefSeq lists it as uncharacterized. The transcript is spliced from 3 exons. NCBI's taxonomy places the organism in Eukaryota, Metazoa, Chordata, Aves, Passeriformes, Pipridae. The record is from RefSeq and is a predicted model, not a curated record.
UCAAAGCUUGUUUUGCUUCACAGGUGAGAGUCCUCAGCCCUGGUUUUAAGGUGGGCUGUGAAUCUGGUGGGUCUCUGACAGCCUUUUGGUGUGGAAGCUUCAUUCCUGUCACACAUCUCCGAAGGGCUCUGCUGGAAUCUCCUGGGUUUUUCCUUGUGGGUGAAGACCUCAAGGAGCCUGAAGACGGGACUUGCAGCGCAGUUGUACCAGCAACCUCUUUUGGUGAACGAGCCCAUGCUGGUCACCACCGACUUCUUCCCCAUCCCCAUCAGGAAAUUGAUGGGAGACUGACGUGAGGCUGGAAACAGGACGCUCCCUGAGUUGCCUCCUCCAUCAUGCCACAAGGGCUGUUGAAACAGAACUGAAUGAAACUUCACCUCCCAGGGAGAAGCAGUAAAUCUCAUGCUGCCUGGCCUUGGAGGCAGAAGAUGAAGCCCAAGCAUCAUGUGGGUGGGAAAAUACAAGGACUCCUACGAACAUCAAGGAAGACAUCCGCAGCUGGUGUAAGCCACAAAUCCAGCUAUGCCUGAUCCUACCCAAGGUCCCGUACAGCCAAAAAGAGGCUUUAAAAUAUCCCGGGGAGGAAGCAGCGAUAGAGCUUGCUGUGUCCAAGUCCAUGCAUUAUGUAUUUCUCACCGGAGUUUGCAUGAGAUCAAUGAGGCUGCGUCCGUCGACAGCCUGCUCUUUGAUGAACGCUGUGCUGAAGUCUGGGCACGGCAGCACUGGCUGGUGGUGGGAGCGCAGGUUGGGCAGGGCACAGCUUUAAGGCAGAAGGAGCAGAGGGAGAGGAGGAAGAGGAUGCACCCUAAAGCUUGGGGCAGUCACCACUGCGAAUUCCUUGCAGCCUGGCUGUUGUGAUGCUUCCCUGGGUUAAGGCGCAGAGCUGUGUCGCUGCCACUUAUGAACUCUUCACUCUUAUUUAUGCACUCUUCCCUACAUGCUCUUAUUUAUACACACAAAUAAAAGCUGGGCGGUCACCCACUGCAUUAUGAAAAAUCCUGCCAUGCCCAUUUUACCUGAUUUAGUGUGUGCUAAGUAAUUUUCAGAAGAUAGCUUUAGGACUGCUUCACAUCUCUCUUUUUGAGAAAUGCAGCACUUCCCUGGACCACAGCAAACCGUCUUCCCUCCAGCUUCCCUUUUGCCAGAGGGAAUGAAUUUCAGAGCUUUUUUUCAGCUCAUUAUUCUAAGCAUUUCCCGUUACAUGUCUGAUUAACGUUUCACAGGCUGUGUUGUGGUAUAAUAUCUGCUUCUGACGUGGGCUGCUGCGGCAGGCAGAAGAGAAAUCCAUUGCGUUUUAGAUGGAGAUAACAGUUUAAUCUGAUCUGCACUUGGAAAAGAAAAAUCUCUCGGGGGAAAACCCAGAUCCCUGGAGGCAGUGUGCGAGGCCAAGGCACUGCUGGCUCCCAUAACCAUCCCUGCAGAGAGGUGACCUAUUCUCACAGAAAGCACUAGGAGGUCUUAAGUUUUUCAAGCUGACUUUAAGCCUGCAGUAAGACCCGUGAGCAGGCUCUGUGCCAUAAAAGACGAGAGAAAUUGAAGCUUUCCCUGGCUUUGUGGAGGACUUGAUGCUCAACAUGGAAAAACCUCUGGGAGUUUGCAAAUGCUGCAGGAGGAGCAGCAGAAGUCUGUUGUGCUUGAGGGGAAAAAUCAGCCUGUGGUCUGAAAACAGGGCAAGGACCCUGCUUGGUCAGGGGAAGGACUCUCCCCUGUACACCACAUCGAGUGCUCACUCUGCUCGUCUUAAGUGCUACCACAGCUAUGACAGCCUUGAAACCUCAAAGUCGGAUUUGGUUUUAAGAUGAAGUUAGCCAAGAGCAGCAAACAGAUCUGUUCAUUUUAAGCCCAUUCCUUUUUUUGUUUUUGUUUUUCCUACUGACUGUAGUUGCAUAGAAAAUCUAAACCAAAAAAAUAAAGUUUCUGAUUAAUCGUUUCUUAUGUUUGAAGAAGAAAGGCUUUGGUUUUGAAUUUUUCUGAAAACAGAGUCCUUCCAUGCUGGGCAAAGAGAGUUACCCAGCAACAAGGCAGGGGAAAAUAAAGGGAAAAGGAGAUGAGGGGGAAAACACAGAGCCUGUGUUCUUCCUGAUGUCCUUGGUAGGCUCAGCGUGCAGAUGCAAGGGUGGGUGUCCUGAACUGGUGCAUCUCCUGGGGCAUCAGCCACUGCCCAUCCUCCUCUCCUCUGGAUACUGGUGUGCAACAAGCCCAGUCCUUGGCAAAGUUUGGGGACAGUCUCCAGCCAUCCAUGGAUGUUCUUGCUCCGUGGAAAGGCGCCUGCUCCAAGAGACUCAGAACAGGACAUUGUUCAGACCUUCCAUAGCAUCAUUUGCUUGUUCUGGACAGUUUGUUCCAGCUAUACCCUGGCUCUUUAAAGAGUUCAGCAAAAUCUGGCUUUGAAAUGCCACAUGUUGGAACAUCUAGACUGAAGCUGUGGUGGAGCAUCUGAGGGUCAAUUACACUCCCUGCAUAAAAAGCACUAAGGGGCAUCCUGUCCUUAAUCUUCUUUAUGGUUUUGCCUGCUUUAAAAGCUCCAUAUAUAAACAAACCUUUAAACAAAUAGACUUGGAAGUAUAAUCUCCUCACAUAGAUUCUUACAAAAUUGUGUUCAAACCAUCUCAAUCUUCAGGACAAACUAAAUGGAUUGAAACCAUUACGUUUCUCCGUCUAAAGUGGCUUUUAGAGAUGACCCUUCUAUGAGCUCUCCUGUUUUUUCUACUUGUGCUUUUAGAUGUGUAGGCAAAUCAGUAAGUGCCAAUACCAGCCUCAGCUGGUAAGCUAAGCCUCUCUGCUUAGCUUUUUCCUUUUUAUUCAUCAAAGGAUCUCACCAGUCCAUUUGUGCACAGCAUCAAACUCCUCAUGAGCACUCAUGAUUCCUCUGACAGUGCCUUCAUCCACAACUGCACAGGACUUUAGGAGAAUUACACUGUGUUUGCUACCUGGCUGAUCAGAACAGUCCUCCAUCAUUAAUAAAGUCCUCUAUGAUCAAUACUCCACUGAAUCAUGAGUGGGAUAUUUCUAGAGGGAUAAAUUUCUAAAAGCUUGGGGCUAACCUAUGCUCUCACUCAAGUACCAGCUGGAAGCUGGGAGCUUCUUGUUCCUGACCAGGACAAAGUGCUGUGUCUACCCUUCUACUUUUUUUUGCAAUAGAGAAGUUGUAGCUGAGCCAUGGUUGAGAGAGGGGUCGGGCGCGUGAUUUAUGAUAUAAGUAUAGUUCAUUGUAACUCAAGAUGGCAGCUGCAUAAGCCAAACAUAACUCACCUUUCCAUCUGGUGGCUGCUGGGAGUGCUAUUUAAAGAGGGAGAGAUUGCAACAGAAGAAAAGAAAUGGAUGCAAAGAAACAAAAACCUCUGUGAGGUACUGUGCCAGCACAGAGAUAUGGGGAUGAUGGAAAGCACUGCAUUUCCUUUGGGUCUGUUCCUUGGGAAGCUUUACUCUGAAUUUCUUUGUGUUGCAUCCAUCUGUUCUCUCAAGAACCUCCCAUUUUGUAGUUGCAGCCAGCAGUAGCAUCCCCCAAGCCUUCUUCUCUGAGCAGACACUGUGCUCUUGGCCUCUCCUUGCCUGUCAUAUGCUCUGUCCACCUCAAAGUCUUGCUGGCCUCCACUGGACUCACUCCAGAAUAUUCACAGUCUUCUUGUGCUGCUCCUUUUUCUUAUGUGUCCAGUGCAGAAAGAACAGGCUCUCUGAGCCUUGCUGCUAUGCAGCCAGGCCUGGUUUGGAGACAAAAGGCUUUCCUGAGAGCCUGUCUCUGACUGCUGCUCCUUAUUAUUGUGCUUUCUUGUGUUUGAGCCAGUAUCCAUGAUCAACCAAGCCUAAGGAGAGGAAAAUCAUUACAGUGCACCAGUUCCUCCUCUCUUUUACCUAGUGAAGAAAAAAAUCAUGCUGGCAGCAGACCUGGAAGCAGUGUGUUGUGUACUUUUAGCAAACACAUCAGCUCAGUCCUUCCCUGAGCAUCCCAAGGCAGAUGGCCAAACAAAGGACUUCCAGGCUCUGCAGGGACAGGGUUCACAGAGUCCCCUCAGUAGGACCUUCGUGGGGACAGGACAGCAGCAGGACAGAAGCACAGGCUGCUGGGUCACUAACCUGCCUGGAUCUGGGUCACAGCCUGUGGCUGGCUGUGCAAGGAUGCCAGUGAACAGCCUGGGUUAAAUACCCCAGAAACAGCCUUGGUGCAGAGCAUGCAGCUUUAUCCAAGGGGUCUUUCAGCAGGAAAUGAAGCCACCAUGGCUCCUCCCCCCAACCACGCUCUCCCAGGCUGUGUCUCCUGCAUUUUUUCCCUUGCUGGUCCCCCACACCCAUUUUUUCCUCUUCCUCCCUCCCAAAAGGGCAGGUAACACCCUCCCUUUAUGUUUAUUUAUUUCCUUUGCUUGGCCUCAGUCACUUUCCUGGGAUCCACCACCUGCAAAGCUCGGUGUCAGAGUACUGGGUACUCACCAGUACUACCUGACAGAAGAUCUCAUCUCCAACUCCUUUCAGCAUGUGUGCACCUCCUCCUUUUCCAAGCCUGCCUGAUAGCCUCAGUCCCAUGGAACAGGCUAAGCAUUUGUGUGGAAGCUAUAUGCAACCGAAAACUCAUCAUUAGCCUAAUUAGCCAUUAAGGAUGCUAAAGCAUGCAAAGUACAUUAAAAACCUCUUCUUAAACAGCAAAGUCACCCCAUGGCUUUUAGGGUCAGUGCAAAUUGAGAUGUAUGGCAUUAGUGCAGCUGCAGAGCACCAGCAAGUUCUGCCCUCUCCUUCCCAUAGCAGGACCUUUGACCUGUGAAGCUGCAAAAUGGCUUUGAACUUUUACAGCAACCUGCCUGGCCAAAGAGAUUUAUUUGUUCCUUUCUACAGGUGACAGCAGUUAGAUGUAGUGUACAAUGUAAGGGAAAUGUAAGAAGCAUCACCUGCAGCACAGCUCCAGCUGAAGGUGUGCCAAGGGUCACAGAGCCUGUACUCCUGCCCCAGACAGGUUCUCAGUGAGCAUCAUGCUGCUGGGGGUGUCUGUGAUCCCCUGAGGGCAGGAGGUGAGCUCAGGGCAAAAUCUGGGAUGCCCACAUCAUAAGAAGCAGGAUGCAGAGCAGGCAUGGAUGUUAGGGGGUCUGUGGGAUGCCCACACUCCCUGGGAAAUACCAGGUUUGAAGCCUAGCAGGCAGGUAGAACUUUACCUCCCUCCUGGAGGCUCAGCCUUUGUGCACAGUGCUGGACAGCCGAUAUCAGCCUGUUUCAAGCCUGCCCCCAGGCUUUCAGAGCCAGAGUGACCUGAGUGAGGCCUUCAUGACUUCUCCCAGCACGAGAUAAAAGUGGUUUAUUGCGCAGCGCUAACAAUGUGAUUUGUUCACACAUUACCCAGGGGUGGCACAAUCUGUACUGGUUAAAGGGAAAUGUUAAACCUGUCACUUCAGCAGGAGAUAUUCGAAUGUGCUAAAUGGGUCCUGCUGUUAAAACAAAUAUUCCCAACCUAAAUUUAUGAAGUACUGUAAAGGGACAGAUAUUGGAAUGCUGCAGCAUCCAGAGCCUCCCUCUCACCGGCAGCUACAGCAUCAAGGUGCUGGUGUGUGACUGAGGCUCCUUUUGUGCAGACACAGAAAUUCCUGUGCAAGGCAACAAGUGCACUGGCAGGGAAGGUGGUGUUCCCAGAGGCUCUUAACAGUGGCCAAAAGAGCCUAUUUAGUUGCCAUCCAGCUGGGCUCUAACAGCACCUGUGGGAGUGCAGGUGCCACCUGCCCAGCACUGGGUUGAAAAGCACACCCAGGGCUGAGGGGCACAGGGAAGGGGAGGACAUCAUGGGUUCGGUUCUCAUCUUGCAAGGACACCACAGCAGAGGUUUGUGGUGUGGGGCAGGUUGUUUUGAUGCACUGCACGUUCCUGCUGUAGCCGGGAGAUGCUCUCCGAGACAGGGGAUGUCUUUGUCUGCAUCACGAAAAAGGCCCAGAGGAGUCUCCUAGCAAAAGGGAGAGCUUCUUAUCGCCUCUGCUCAAAGCAUUCUGCAGGGAACUGGACUUCCAGAAAUUACCUUCUUUUCACUGAACACACGAAUGGGGAGGGAUUCCCAAAAUUUCUUGUUCUUUUCCAUCUCUUCCACACUGUUAUUCUCAGCUGGCCACUUCCAUGGGAAAAAAACCCCAUGUGAACCAGUGUCAGAUGCUGGCACUGGCCUGGCCCUUGGUGCAUCUCUCUAAUAGGAGAGCAGAGAUGCAGCCUGGACCUUGCGUGUGCUCUGGCUUACCUUCUCCUCCCAGCUGUGGGGGGUUGCUGGCCUGUGGAGAUCUGAGCCUGCACAGGCUGUUUCCUCCCUCACAUGUCAGCUCAGCCGAGCUCUCGCAUUUAGCCCUCCCUGCCCGCCCGUUCACAGGUGCGAAGAGAGCUGUUGCCCUCCGUGCUGUCUGUGAGAGCAAUCCUGCCA